Molecule: non-coding RNA, 10185 nt
Organism: Nothobranchius furzeri (turquoise killifish)
Lineage: Eukaryota; Metazoa; Chordata; Actinopteri; Cyprinodontiformes; Nothobranchiidae
Source: RefSeq, a predicted model, not a curated record
UUGGAUGAGUCAGACCAGCUAAGAUAAGCAUAAGGAAACGCCAUCUGGGGAGCCAUCCACCCUAACAGCAGCAGACCCACAGCAGCAGCCGAGGCACUGACACCGGGCGCCCAGGGCAGGGAGGGCAGAGACCCCCACCACCACCCAGGCACACAUGGAAAGCACCCAGGUCGCCACAGCCGACCACCGCCGCCGAGGCAGAGGGCUCCCACAGAGGAAGCUCUGGAAAAAGGUUCAAUUAAGGUUAAAAUAUAAAAUCCAAAGAGCUAAAAUGAGAAUUGUAAUAUAAAAAGUUAUAUAGAUAUUAAAAUAAUGUUGAUCGCAAAUCGAGGUAAAAACUGUUUAAAAAGCACGAAUAAAGAAAGAAUACAUUAAAUAAAUAAAAUAAAUAGAUACAAUAAAUAAAUAAACAAAGUAAUUAAUUAAUUUAAAAAGUGAGUAUUCAGUUAAAAGCUAAGCUAAAAAGAUGGGUCUUCAGCCUGAACGUUCAGCAGCCCUGAGGUCCCUGGCAGCUCGUUCCAGAGGCGAGGACCGUCACCGGAAGGACGCCACUCCGCACCUGCACCGUUACCUUCGGAGGCGGGCCCUGCUCCGUAUGCUCCGUAUGCAAGGUUUCUAUUCUCGUAAAUUUACGCUCACGUUGUGCCGCAGCUUCUAAAGCUACGCAGUUAGCGUAAACAUGUCUGUGGUUAGCGUCCGUGUUUUUGCGUAGCGGAGGCCCAGCUGAACGCUAGUUCUCCCCGUGGACGAGCAGCAAAUCGGAACAAGUCUGGAUGGCACAAACAAUUCUUCGGAACCAGUCCACGUACUUUCGGUUGGCUCGAUCUGGAGCAGUUAAAGCAGCAGGUCUGGUUCCUUCUGAUCAUUGAGAACCACCAGGACAUCAGCAGAACUCUGAUCAUGUAGCCCAGACUACUCAUCUUCUCUCAUGUGAGUUCCACUUUAAAGGUCUGGUUCACUGACAACCCCUGUUUCAAUGACUAUCUCUGAUUCUAACUGGUCACUCUGAGUGUUUCAUGCAGGCUGAACAUGAAAAUAGUCUCCUACACCCAUCUCCUGCAUCAGCUUCUGAUAGAAAACAGACGAUGAAACUCUAGGAUUAGAAAAGCCCGACAGAUCUACGUCACACUGUCUUAGCGAUGGGCACCUUUGGCAUUUGAAUCGAUACGGUCCCCGGUACCUACGAAACGAUACCGGUGCUUAACGGUACCCAUUUUUGAUACUUUUGAGUUCUAAAUAGUUAUUGAAAUUGCAUUUUAAUUAAACAUAUAUUUUCCCAAUAAAUAAUCAUAUUUGAUAAAUAUCAUGAUACAAACAACUGUUUGUAUUUUAUCAUCGUAGUGUUGCACAAAACUGUUCAACAUGAAAACCUUUAACAACAGUUUCUAAAUUAAAACAAACCCAGCUCCAUGGACUCCUAAUCCUCUUCGAAUCCCUCUGGAAUAACUCUUAUGAGGAGACCAGGUGUUAUAAACUACAAAAGCAAACUUUGGUACCAUACAACAGUUUGUAUUUUAAUAUUGUGGUGUUUCACAAACUAAAACAGCUCCAUGUACUCCUAUUUCUCUCCUUUCUCCUCUGGACCAACUGUGUGAUGGUGGGUCCUUAUAGUUUAUAAACUGUGUGGCGGUGGGUCCUUAUAGUUUAUAAACUGUGUGGCGGUGGUCCUUGUUUUUAAACUGUGUGAUGUGGGUCCUUGUAGUUUAUAAACUUUGUAAUGUGGGUCCUUGUAGUUUAUAAACUGUGUGACGGUGGGUCAGUGGAGUUUUUAAACUGUGAUGGUGGAUCCUUGUAGUUUAUAAACUGUGUGAUGGUGGGUCCUUGUAGUUUAUAAACUGUGUGAUGGCGGUCCUUGUAGUUUAUAAACUGUGUGAUGUGGGUCCUUGUAGUUUAUAUAAUGGGUGACGUUGGGUCUGUGUAGUUUAUAAACUGUGUGAUGGUGGGUCCUUGUAGUUUAUAAACUGUGUGAUGGUGGGUCCUUGUAGUUUUUAAACUGUGUGAUGGUGGGUCUUUGUAGUUUAUAAACUGUGUGAUGGUGGGUCCUUGUAGUUAUAUAAAAUGUGUGAUGUGUGUCCUUGUAAUUUUUAAACUGUGCGAUGGUGGGUCCUUGUAGUUUUUAAACUGUGUGAUGGUGGGUCUUUGUAGUUUAUAAACUGUGUGAUGGUGGUCCUUGUAGUUUAUAUAAUGUGUGAUGGUGGGUCUGUGUAGUUUAUAAACUGUGUGAUGGUGGGUCCUUGUAGUUUAUAUAAUGUGUGAUGGUGGGUCUGUGUAGUUUAUAAACUGUGUGAUGGUGGGUCCUUGUAGUUUAUAAACUGUGUGAUGGUGGGUCUUUGUAGUUUAUAAACUGUGUGAUGGUGGGUCCUUGUAGUUUUAUAAACUGUGUGAUGGUAGGUCCUUGUAGUUUAUAAAGUGUGUGAUGGUGGGUCCUUGUAAUUUUUAAACUGAUGGUGGGUCCUUGUAGUUUAUAAACGGUGUGAUAGUGGGUCCUUGUAGUUUUUAAACUGUGUGGCGGUGGGUCCUUGUAGUUUAUAAACUGUGUGAUGGUUGGUCCUUGUAGUUUAUAAACUGUGUGAUGGUGGUCCUUGUAGUUUAUAUAAUGUGUGAUGGCGGGUCCUUGUAUUUUUAUAAACUGUGUGAUGGUGGGUCCUUGUAGUUUAUUAACGGUGUGAUGGUGGGUCCUUUUAUUUUUAUAGACUGUGUGAUGAUGGGUCCUUUUUAUAAACUGUGUGAUGGUGGGUCCUUGUAGUUUUUAAACUGUGUGAUGGUGGGUCUUUGUAGUUUAAAAACUGUGUGAUGGUGGGUCCUUGUUUAUAAACUGUGUGAUGGUGGGUCCUUGUAGUUGUUAAACUGUGUGAUGGUGGGUCCUUGUAGUUUAUAAACUGUGUGAUGGUGGUUCCUUGCAGUUUUUAAACUGUGUGAUGGUGGGUCCUUGUUUAUAAACUGUGUGAUGGUGGGUCCUUGUAGUUGUUAAACUGUGUGACGGUGGGUCCUUGUAGUUUAUAAACUGUGUGAUGGUGGGUCCUUGCAGUUUUUAAAUUGUGUGAUGGUGGGUCCUUGUUGUUUAUAAACUGUGUGAUGGUGGAUCCUUGUUUGUAAACUGUGAUGGUGGAUCAUUGUAGUUUUAAAAAUUGUGUGAUUUGGGUCCUUCUGGUUUAUAAACUUUGCAAUGUGGGUCCUUGUAGUUUAUCAACUGUGUGAUGGUGGGUCCUUGUUUAUAAACUGUGUGAUGGUGGGUCCUUGUAGUUUAUAAACUGUGUGAUGGUGGAUCCUUGUUUGUAAACUGUGAUUGUGGAUCAUUGUAGUUUUAAAAAUUGUGUGAUUUGGGUCCUUCUGGUUUAUAAACUUUGCAAUGUGGGUCCUUGUAGUUUAUAAACUGUGUGAUGGUGGGUCCUUGUGGUUUUAUAAACUGUGUGAUGGUGGGUCCUUGUAGUUUAUAAACUGUGUGAUGGUGGGUCUUUGUAGUUUUAAAAACAGUGUGAUGGUGGGUCCUUGUAAUUUUUAAACUGAUGGUGGGUCCUUGUAGUUUAUAAACGGUGUGAUAGUGGGUCCUUGUACUUUUUAAACUGUGUGGCGGUGGGUCCUUGUAGUUUAUAAACUGUGUGAUGUGGGUCCUUGUAGUUUAUAAACUGUGUGAUGGUGGUCCUUGUACUUUAUAUAAUGUGUGAUGGUGGGUCCUUGUAUUUUUAUAAACUGUGUGAUGGUGGGUCCUUGUAGUUUAUUAACGGUGUGAUGGUGGGUCCUUGUAGUUGUUAUAGACUGUGUGAUGAUGGGUCCUUUUUAUAAACUGUGUGAUGGUGGGUCCUUGUAGUUUUUAAACUGUGUGAUGGUGGGUCUUUGUAGUUGUAUAAGCAGUGUGAUGGUGGGUUCUUCUAGUUUCAUAAACCGUGUGAUGGUGGGUCCUUGUAGUUUAUAAACUGUGUGAUGGUGGUCCUUGUAGUUUAUAUAAUGUGUGAUGGCGGGUCCUUGUAUUUUUAUAAACUGUGUGAUGGUGGGUCCUUGUAGUUUAUUAACGGUGUGAUGGUGGGUCCUUUUAUUUUUAUAGACUGUGUGAUGAUGGGUCCUUUUUAUAAACUGUGUGAUGGUGGGUCCUUGUAGUUUUUAAACUGUGUGAUGGUGGGUCUUUGUAGUUUAUAAACUGUGUGAUGGUGGGUCCUUGUUUAUAAACUGUGUGAUGGUGGGUCCUUGUAGUUGUUAAACUGUGUGAUGGUGGGUCCUUGUAGUUUAUAAACUGUGUGAUGGUGGGUCCUUGCAGUUUUUAAACUGUGUGAUGGUGGGUCCUUGUUUAUAAACUGUGUGAUGGUGGGUCCUUGCAGUUUUUAAAUUGUGUGAUGGUGGGUCCUUGUUGUUUAUAAACUGUGUGAUGGUGGGUUCCUGUAGUUUAUAAACUGUGUGAUGGUGGAUCCUUGUUUGUAAACUGUGAUUGCGGAUCAUUGUAGUUUUAAAAAUUGUGUGAUUUGGGUCCUUCUGGUUUAUAAACUUUGCAAUGUGGGUCCUUGUAGUUUAUAAACUGUGUGAUGGUGGGUCCUUGUGGUUUUAUAAACUGUGUGAUGGUGGGUCCUUGUGGUUUUAUAAACUGUGUGAUGGUGGGUCCUUGUAGUUUAUAAACUGUGUGAUGGUGGGUCUUUGUAGUUUUAAAAACAGUGUGAUGGUGGGUCCUUGUAAUUUUUAAACUGAUGGUGGGUCCUUGUAGUUUAUAAACGGUGUGAUAGUGGGUCCUUGUACUUUUUAAACUGUGUGGCGGUGGGUCCUUGUAGUUUAUAAACUGUGUGAUGUGGGUCCUUGUAGUUUAUAAACUGUGUGAUGGUGGUCCUUGUACUUUAUAUAAUGUGUGAUGGUGGGUCCUUGUAUUUUUAUAAACUGUGUGAUGGUGGGUCCUUGUAGUUUAUUAACGGUGUGAUGGUGGGUCCUUGUAGUUGUUAUAGACUGUGUGAUGAUGGGUCCUUUUUGUAAACUGUGUGAUGGUGGGUCCUUGUAGUUUUUAAACUGUGUGAUGGUGGGUCUUUGUAGUUGUAUAAGCAGUGUGAUGGUGGGUUCUUCUAGUUUCAUAAACCGUGUGAUGGUGGGUCCUUGUAGUUUAUAAACUGUGUCAUGGUGGGUCCUUGUUGUUUAUAAACUGUAUGAUGGUGGGUCCUUGUAGUUAUAUAAAAUGUGUGAUGUGUGUCCUUGUAAUUUUUAAACUGUGUGAUGGUGGGUCCUUGUAGUUUAUAAACUGUGUGAUGGUGGGUCCUUGUUUAUAAACUGUGAUGGUGGGUCCUUGUAGUUGUUAAACUGUGUGAUGGUGGGUCCUUGUAGUUUAUAAAGUGUGUGAUGGUGGGUCCUUGCAGUUUUUAAACUGUGUGAUGGUGGGUCCUUGUAGUUUAUCAACUGUGUGAUGGUGGGUCCUUGUUUAUAAACUGUGUGAUGGUGGGUCCUUGUAGUUUAUAAACUGUGUGAUGGUGGAUCCUUGUUUGUAAACUGUGAUGGUAGAUCAUUGUAGUUUUAAAAAUUGUGUGAUGUGGGUCCUUGUAGUUUAUAAACUUUGUAAUGUGGGUCCUUGUAGUUUAUAAACUGUGUGAUGGUGGUCCUUGUAGUUUAUAUAAUGUGUGACGGUGGGUCCUUGCACUUUAUAAACUGUGUGACGGUGGGUCCUUGUGGUUUUACAAACUGUGUGAUGGUGGGUCCUUGUAGUUUAUAAACUGUGUGAUGGUGGGUCCUUGUAGUUUAUAAACUGUGUGAUGGUGGGUCCUUGUAGUUUUAUAAACUUUGUGAUGGUGAGUCUUUGUAGUUUAUAAACUGUGUGAUGGUGGGUCCUUGUGAUUUUUAAACUGUGUGAUGGUGGGUCCUUGUAAUUUUUUAACUGUGUGAUGGUGGGUCCUUGUAGUUUAUAAACUGUGAUGGUGGGUCCUUGUAGUUUUUUAACUGUGUGAUGGUGGAUCCUUGUUUGUAAACUGUGAUGGUGGGUCAUUGUAGUUUAGAGCUGAAACAACUAAUCGAUUUAAUCGAUUAUAAUCGAUUAUUAAAAUAGUUAACAACUUUUUUAGUCAUCGAUUAGUUGUUUAAUAAUCAUAUUUUACCGCAUAAAGUCUAUUUUUUACCACAAUCUGACAUCGGUUACAAUCUGUUAAAUUUGCCGCCAGUGUGUGGCAGUAAUGAGCCACUGAUCUACCAGUGGGGCCGUAGAAGAAGAAAUUAGCCAAUAAGUGCCCUCGGUUUUCAUGACGUAUCACGUUACUGACGCGCAUCUUGCUGUGAGAGAUGGCGGAUCAACAACAAAUACGGAAGAAAAAUAGAAGCGACAAAACAAGAGAAACCCCGGACAAAAACCUCACGAGUAUGGGAGCACUUCACUAGAUGCCUUGAAAAGACCGGUGACCUACAAAAUAUGCAAAAACCAUGGCACGACGGAAGCACGACGUCCCUAAGUGAACAUUUGAGACGAAAACGUGGGGGCUGAUGCAGCAGAGGAAUGUCCGAAAAAAAACAAGCAACGAUGGACAACUACAUGGGGAACAAGACACUCACCCCCAGCAAUGCAUACCACUUACAAACUCUAUUCCAGAUUCUACAUUAUUUUUUAUGGAAUUUACCUCUUAUAUUUUGAUGCCAAAAAAUUAUUCUGGACUGAUAUUUUGCACUGUUUAGCUCAUUUUACACUGCUGACUGUGGUCAUGUGCAAUAAAAUAGAUUGCAGUCAACUGCACAAUUCUCUUAUGUUUUUUCUUUUUCUUAACUGAAAUGUAUUCAUCACUUGUAUAGGUUAAAUAGCUAAACAAUAACAAACCGAUUAAUCGAUUAAUCGAAAAAAUAAUCGACAGAUUAAUCGAUUAUGAAAAUAAUCGUUAGUUGCAGCCCUAUUGUAGUUUUAUAAACCGUGUGAUGGUGGGUCCUUGUAGUUUAAAUAAUGGGUGACGGUGGAUCUGUGUAGUUUAUAAACUGUGUGAUGUUGGUCCUUGUAGUUUAUAAACUGUGUGAUGGUGGGUCCUUGUAGUUUAUAAACUGUGUGAUGGUGGGUCUUUGUAGUUUUAAAAACAGUGUGAUGGUGGGUCCUUGUAAUUUUUAAACUGAUGGUGGGUCCUUGUAGUUUAUAAACGGUGUGAUAGUGGGUCCUUGUACUUUUUAAACUGUGUGGCGGUGGGUCCUUGUAGUUUAUAAACUGUGUGAUGUGGGUCCUUGUAGUUUAUAAACUGUGUGAUGGUGGUCCUUGUACUUUAUAUAAUGUGUGAUGGUGGGUCCUUGUAUUUUUAUAAACUGUGUGAUGGUGGGUCCUUGUAGUUUAUUAACGGUGUGAUGGUGGGUCCUUGUAGUUGUUAUAGACUGUGUGAUGAUGGGUCCUUUUUAUAAACUGUGUGAUGGUGGGUCCUUGUAGUUUUUAAACUGUUUGAUGGUGGGUCUUUGUAGUUGUAUAAGCAGUGUGAUGGUGGGUUCUUCUAGUUUCAUAAACCGUGUGAUGGUGGGUCCUUGUAGUUUAUAAACUGUGUGAUGGUGGUCCUUGUAGUUUAUAUAAUGUGUGAUGGCGGGUCCUUGUAUUUUUAUAAACUGUGUGAUGGUGGGUCCUUGUAGUUUAUUAACGGUGUGAUGGUGGGUCCUAUUAUUUUUAUAGACUGUGUGAUGAUGGGUCCUUUUUAUAAACUGUGUGAUGGUGGGUCCUUGUAGUUUUUAAACUGUGUGAUGGUGGGUCUUUGUAGUUUAUAAACUGUGUGAUGGUGGGUCCUUGUUUAUAAACUGUGUGAUGGUGGGUCCUUGUAGUUGUUAAACUGUGUGAUGGUGGGUCCUUGUAGUUUAUAAACUGUGUGAUGGUGGGUCCUUGCAGUUUUUAAACUGUGUGAUGGUGGGUCCUUGUUUAUAAACUGUGUGAUGGUGGGUCCUUGCAGUUUUUAAAUUGUGUGAUGGUGGGUCCUUGUUGUUUAUAAACUGUGUGAUGGUGGGUUCCUGUAGUUUAUAAACUGUGUGAUGGUGGAUCCUUGUUUGUAAACUGUGAUUGUGGAUCAUUGUAGUUUUAAAAAUUGUGUGAUUUGGGUCCUUCUGGUUUAUAAACUUUGCAAUGUGGGUCCUUGUAGUUUAUAAACUGUGUGAUGGUGGGUCCUUGUGGUUUUAUAAACUGUGUGAUGGUGGGUCCUUGUAGUUUAUAAACUGUGUGAUGGUGGGUCUUUGUAGUUUUAAAAACAGUGUGAUGGUGGGUCCUUGUAAUUUUUAAACUGAUGGUGGGUCCUUGUAGUUUAUAAACGGUGUGAUAGUGGGUCCUUGUACUUUUUAAACUGUGUGGCGGUGGGUCCUUGUAGUUUAUAAACUGUGUGAUGUGGGUCCUUGUAGUUUAUAAACUGUGUGAUGGUGGUCCUUGUACUUUAUAUAAUGUGUGAUGGUGGGUCCUUGUAUUUUUAUAAACUGUGUGAUGGUGGGUCCUUGUAGUUUAUUAACGGUGUGAUGGUGGGUCCUUGUAGUUGUUAUAGACUGUGUGAUGAUGGGUCCUUUUUAUAAACUGUGUGAUGGUGGGUCCUUGUAGUUUUUAAACUGUGUGAUGGUGGGUCUUUGUAGUUGUAUAAGCAGUGUGAUGGUGGGUUCUUCUAGUUUCAUAAACCGUGUGAUGGUGGGUCCUUGUAGUUUAUAAACUGUGUCAUGGUGGGUCCUUGUUGUUUAUAAACUGUAUGAUGGUGGGUCCUUGUAGUUAUAUAAAAUGUGUGAUGUGUGUCCUUGUAAUUUUUAAACUGUGUGAUGGUGGGUCCUUGUAGUUUAUAAACUGUGUGAUGGUGGGUCCUUGUUUAUAAACUGUGAUGGUGGGUCCUUGUAGUUGUUAAACUGUGUGAUGGUGGGUCCUUGUAGUUUAUAAAGUGUGUGAUGGUGGGUCCUUGCAGUUUUUAAACUGUGUGAUGGUGGGUCCUUGUAGUUUAUCAACUGUGUGAUGGUGGGUCCUUGUUUAUAAACUGUGUGAUGGUGGGUCCUUGUAGUUUAUAAACUGUGUGAUGGUGGAUCCUUGUUUGUAAACUGUGAUGGUAGAUCAUUGUAGUUUUAAAAAUUGUGUGAUGUGGGUCCUUGUAGUUUAUAAACUUUGUAAUGUGGGUCCUUGUAGUUUAUAAACUGUGUGAUGGUGGUCCUUGUAGUUUAUAUAAUGUGUGACGGUGGGUCCUUGCACUUUAUAAACUGUGUGACGGUGGGUCCUUGUGGUUUUACAAACUGUGUGAUGGUGGGUCCUUGUAGUUUAUAAACUGUGUGAUGGUGGGUCCUUUUAGUUUAUAAACUGUGUGAUGGUGGGUCCUUGUAGUUUUAUAAACUUUGUGAUGGUGAGUCUUUGUAGUUUAUAAACUGUGUGAUGGUGGGUCCUUGUGAUUUUUAAACUGUGUGAUGGUGGGUCCUUGUAAUUUUUUAACUGUGUGAUGGUGGGUCCUUGUAGUUUAUAAACUGUGAUGGUGGGUCCUUGUAGUUUUUUAACUGUGUGAUGGUGGAUCCUUGUUUGUAAACUGUGAUGGUGGGUCAUUGUAGUUUAGAGCUGAAACAACUAAUCGAUUUAAUCGAUUAUAAUCGAUUAUUAAAAUAGUUAACAACUUUUUUAGUCAUCGAUUAGUUGUUUAAUAAUCAUAUUUUACCGCAUAAAGUCUAUUUUUUACCACAAUCUGACAUCGGUUACAAUCUGUUAAAUUUGCCGCCAGUGUGUGGCAGUAAUGAGCCACUGAUCUACCAGUGGGGCCGUAGAAGAAGAAAUUAGCCAAUAAGUGCCCUCGGUUUUCAUGACGUAUCACGUUACUGACGCGCAUCUUGCUGUGAGAGAUGGCGGAUCAACAACAAAUACGGAAGAAAAAUAGAAGCGACAAAACAAGAGAAACCCCGGACAAAAACCUCACGAGUAUGGGAGCACUUCACUAGAUGCCUUGAAAAGACCGGUGACCUACAAAAUAUGCAAAAACCAUGGCACGACGGAAGCACGACGUCCCUAAGUGAACAUUUGAGACGAAAACGUGGGGGCUGAUGCAGCAGAGGAAUGUCCGAAAAAAACAAGCAACGAUGGACAACUACAUGGGGAACAAGACACUCACCCCCAGCAAUGCAUACCACUUACAAACUCUAUUCCAGAUUCUACAUUAUUUUUUAUGGAAUUUACCUCUUAUAUUUUGAUGCCAAAAAAUUAUUCUGGACUGAUAUUUUGCACUGUUUAGCUCAUUUUACACUGCUGACUGUGGUCAUGUGCAAUAAAAUAGAUUGCAGUCAACUGCACAA